Molecule: non-coding RNA, 77 nt
Organism: Eublepharis macularius
Lineage: Eukaryota; Metazoa; Chordata; Lepidosauria; Squamata; Eublepharidae
Source: the annotation of a RefSeq genome assembly
GGAGAGGCAAUGUGGCUCAAUGGUAGAGCAUCUGCUUUGUAUGCAGAAGGUCUUGGGUUCGAUUCCUAACAUCUCCA